This 493-nucleotide unclassified non-coding RNA is filed under the name uncultured Bartonella sp. RNAcentral describes it as "partial 16S-23S ribosomal RNA intergenic spacer". The stretch from base 102 to 175 matches the Rfam family "tRNA". Lineage: Bacteria; Pseudomonadati; Pseudomonadota; Alphaproteobacteria; Hyphomicrobiales; Bartonellaceae. The record is from RNAcentral.
AUCCACAACAAGUUCUUUGUAGAACUUUAAAAAAAGCAUUUUGCAUUAAAAGAAUGCUUUCAUGUGAUAAUGCCGGGGAAGGUUUUCCGGUUUAUCCCGGAGGGCUUGUAGCUCAGUUGGUUAGAGCGCGCGCUUGAUAAGCGUGAGGUCGGAGGUUCAAGUCCUCCCAGGCCCACCAAUUAUCCAUCGAUAGAAAAGCGCUUAGGAAGCUUGAAAAGAGCUUUCUCGUAAAGUUUAAAAAAACUUGUUUAUCGCUUUUUGUAAGAUGUGGCGUUUGUCUGUUUUUAAAGCGGUCGAGACCAAAAGUGUUGCAAAGACAAGAGUCUUGGAGCAGGAAAGAACAUAAGAUCCAGGUGGUGUCACAUGGUCUAGAGUUAAACUGUUCAGGAUUGGAAUAUUCCAUGUUGAAAUGCUGCGAUAUAAAGGUUUCGGAUAAAUUAUUCCGUUUUGGGGCCGUAGCUCAGCUGGGAGAGCACCUGCUUUGCAAGCAGGG